GCGGGUGUGGUGGAAUUGGUAGACGCGUCGGAUUCAAAAUCCGAUGUCCAUUAGGACGUGCCGGUUCGAGUCCGGCCACCCGUACCA
This 87-nucleotide transfer RNA is filed under the name Micavibrio sp. Its description in RNAcentral is "tRNA-Leu". It matches the Rfam family "tRNA". Rfam says of the family: Transfer RNA (tRNA) molecules are approximately 80 nucleotides in length. Their secondary structure includes four short double-helical elements and three loops (D, anti-codon, and T loops). Lineage: Bacteria; Pseudomonadati; Bdellovibrionota; Bdellovibrionia; Bdellovibrionales; Pseudobdellovibrionaceae. The record is from RNAcentral.